UCCCUGAUGGCUCAGAGGUUAAAGCAUCUGCCCGCAAUGCAGGAGACUUGGGUUCGAUCCCUGGGUUGGGAA
RNAcentral lists this transfer RNA (72 nucleotides) under Bos taurus (domestic cattle). It matches the Rfam family "tRNA". From Rfam's summary of the family: Transfer RNA (tRNA) molecules are approximately 80 nucleotides in length. Their secondary structure includes four short double-helical elements and three loops (D, anti-codon, and T loops). Lineage: Eukaryota; Metazoa; Chordata; Mammalia; Artiodactyla; Bovidae. The record is from Rfam by way of RNAcentral. RNAcentral also lists the same sequence under 1 other name.